This is a long non-coding RNA of Thalassophryne amazonica, 136 nucleotides long. RefSeq lists it as uncharacterized. The transcript has 3 exons. NCBI's taxonomy places the organism in Eukaryota, Metazoa, Chordata, Actinopteri, Batrachoidiformes, Batrachoididae. The record is from RefSeq and is a predicted model, not a curated record.
UUUGAUACACUCUCUUUUUUUACUGUACCUUUAACAGUAAUCUCUUUGAUCUGCUUGCUUUUCUCUUCAAUCCAUUUCUCACGGCGGACCUUCUCCUUGGCACUCAUCAGAUCCUUUAGCUUCUUGAUCUCCUGUG